Molecule: long non-coding RNA, 895 nt
Filed under: Helianthus annuus (common sunflower)
Lineage: Eukaryota; Viridiplantae; Streptophyta; Magnoliopsida; Asterales; Asteraceae
Description: hypothetical non coding rna
Source: RNAcentral
AUUCUUCUUUUUUUUUUUUCAAUUGUUAAGUACAUAUGAGGGGGCAUAAACGAAGUGGAUAUCGUGCCCAGUGUAAUAUAUGUGGUUUUCGUAUAGAAAUUUGUGGGUAUAUACGUUUUCGACCACCUGGUUCUAUAGAAAUUUUUGGGUUUUGGUUUAGCCAGAGGGGUGGUGACUAAACAAACCACCCCCCCCCCCCCCCCCCCCCCAAACCCCGUAUGGUUCCGCCGACGCUCCCUUGCUUCUAGUUCCUGCUACUUAGAUGUUUGCUCUACCAAUAGCAUUGGAGCACGAGUCCUAGUGCUGGAACUGAAUCUGGUUUUCUUGAUACUCAUUCUCUAAACCGUAGAGUUGCACUUCCAGAGCAGAGCAUACUUCUCCCGAUCUGUGUAUUCUCUUAUUCUGGAGUCACUUUGGUUCGAAGGAAAAUACCAUGAUGCAGAAUGGGUUAUAGAAUCUAGAUAUAGAAAAAAUAUGAAGAAAAAACACUAUAGUACCUAGCUCGGUUAUAUAAAGCAAGCGAUGAUCUAGAAAGCGCCUCAGGGACUUGAGCGUCAAAGCUGGUCAACAUCAAGGUUUGUAGGAGGCUUAUAUGUGAAGUCAGCCAAAAUGGAUGAAGAAAUUAUGAAUGAUUUAGUUGAUAAAAUGGCUGAUAUGUAAAAGAGACGAGAGAGAUGUAAUUUCUAGUCGUACAAAAAGAGCAACGUUUGGUGUCCAUGAACACUGCCUCGCUCUUCUUAAAACCAAGGUACCUAGUAUCCAUCAUAGAGUUGGUGAUUACAACACAUGUAACGAAACGAAAAACCUUAGUCUGGAAUUAAGGAACAAGGAAUCGUAGAUGCUAAAUGGUCUUAAGAACCGUUUAAUAAACUGUAACCUAAGAAAGAAAGAUCUU